UAUUUUCUCCUAACUGCUCUAUACUACUGUCUGUAGUAUUGUAUGAUUACAGAUACUUUACUUUUCGCUUCGUAUACAGAGGAAAUAUCUAUGUAUACGGCGGGUCUGUUAGCGAACCCGGGGAACCGAGUAAUCCGGGGCGUGACAUUUUAAAUUUAUAAUUAAGAUUUAAAACUAAAAUUUAAAAUUUAAAAUUAAAAUUUAAAAUUUUAAAUUUUAAAAUUUAAAAUUUAAAUUUUAAUAUUCAAAAAUUUAAAAAUUUAAAAUUUAAAUAUUUAAAAAUUUAAAUUUAAAGUCCACCAUGUUUUUAUUUUUAUAAUUUAAAAAUUAAAAUUAAAAUUUUUAAUUUUAAAAUUUAAUUUAAAAUUUAAUUUUUAAUUUUUACUUUUUAAAAUUUAUAUUAUUUAAUCUCAAAAUUAAUGAUUAUAGUUUUUAAUUCUAAAUUUAAUAAAUUUUAAAUUUUAAAUUUUUUGAAUUUAAAAUUUAAAAUUAAUUUUUUAAAUUUUUAAUUUUUAAAAUUUAUAUUUUUUUAUCUCAAAAUUAAAUUUUAUAGUUUUAAUUCUAAAUUUUAAAUUUUAAAUUCUAUAUUUUAUAUUUAAAAUUUAAAAUUUUAAUUUAGAAUUUUAAAAUUUAAAAGUUAAAAUUUUAAUUUUAAAAAUAUAAAUAUAAAAUUUUAAAAACUCAAAUUCAAAUAUAAUAAGAGGGUAAUAAUAUUAUAUUUUAUAUAUAUUAAUAAUUAUUUUUCUUAUUCUAUCUUUUCUAUCCAAAUGCUAAUUUUCUUAUUUUCGGUAACAAACCAAUUUUCAUUCAAAUGCAAAAGUAAUAUAUUUCUUACUUAUACUCGAAUUUAUAUCUAUUUCUGAAAUUGACAAUUCUUGCUUAUAUCUGAACCAAAUGAUACCUUAGUAUGACAAAUAAGACCAUAGCCAGUAAAGAUAAUAAAUCUUGACUUAAAUAUGUGCAUAGUAUGUGUUAGGAUUUGGUUAGAUUUGUAGUUAAAUCCUAUUUGGAUAAGAAUUAAUAUUUAAAUCUAUUUGAGAUAAAUUAAGAUUUAAAUAUUAAAUAGAGGAUAAACCUAACUAGAUUAGGAUUAAUAUUUAAAUCUAUUAGAGAUUGAUUAAGAUAGAUUUAGAUAUUAAUUAAAGUAUGAAUCCUAAAUAGAUUAGGAUUGGGGUACGUUUUAAGUUAAGCAUUAUAAAUAGGCAUUGUGGCUCUCUUUUUUGAGAGGAGUACGGCUGGAACCAUUGGGGUGUCGUACCAGAGAGAGAAAAAAAAGAGAGAGAGAGUUAUUUUAGUGCACCUCGUGCACGGGUGCACGCGGAGAGGUCUUCUUUGUGGGUUCAU
This 1344-nucleotide long non-coding RNA is filed under the name Ananas comosus (pineapple). RNAcentral describes it as "long non-coding RNA (ACOM_LNC040468)". Lineage: Eukaryota; Viridiplantae; Streptophyta; Magnoliopsida; Poales; Bromeliaceae. The record is from RNAcentral.